This 531-nucleotide ribosomal RNA is filed under the name uncultured bacterium. RNAcentral's name for it is "bacterial SSU rRNA". It matches the Rfam family "Bacterial small subunit ribosomal RNA", at positions 774 to 1313 of the family's 1533-position model. The record is from RNAcentral.
AGAAAAUAGAUACCCUGGUAGUCCUGGCCGUAAACGAUGACCACUAGAUGCGGGAGGUAUCGACCCCUUCCGUGUCGCAGCUCACGCAGUAAGUGGUCCGCCUGGGGAGUACGGUCGCAAGACUAAAACUCAAAGGAAUUGACGGGGACCCGCACAAGCAGCGGAGCGUGUGGUUUAAUUCGAAGCAACGCGAAGCACCUUACCAGGGCUUGACAUGCGCCUGCACCAGUCGUAAUGGGCUGUCUCCCGCAAGGGGGCGGGCGCACAGGUGCUGCAUGGCUGUCGUCAGCUCGUGUCGUGAGAUGUUGGGUUUAAAGUCCCGCAACGAGCGCAACCCCCUACUGCUAGUUGAAUCUCUCUAGCGGAACUGCCGUCCAAAAGCGGAGGAAGGUGGGGAUGACGUCAAGUCAGCAUGGCCCUGACGUCCUGGGCGACACACACGCUACAAUGGCCGGUCCAAUGGGAAGCCAACCCGCAGGGGGAGCCAAUCCCAACAAAGCCGGUCUCAGUUCGGAUUGCAGGCUGCAACCC